This 1470-nucleotide ribosomal RNA is filed under the name metagenome. RNAcentral describes it as "bacterial SSU rRNA". It matches the Rfam family "Bacterial small subunit ribosomal RNA". The record is from RNAcentral.
AGAGUUUGAUCCUGGCUCAGGACGAACGCUGGCGGCACGCUUAACACAUGCAAGUCGAACGAGAGAAGAGGAGCUUGCUUUUCUGAUCUAGUGGCGGACGGGUGAGUAACACGUGAGCAAUCUGCCUUUCAGAGGGGGAUACCGAUUGGAAACGAUCGUUAAUACCGCAUAACAUAAUUGAACCGCAUGAUUUGAUUAUCAAAGAUUUAUCGCUGAAAGAUGAGCUCGCGUCUGAUUAGCUAGUUGGUAAGGUAACGGCUUACCAAGGCGACGAUCAGUAGCCGGACUGAGAGGUUGAUCGGCCACAUUGGGACUGAGACACGGCCCAGACUCCUACGGGAGGCAGCACUGGGGAAUAUUGCACAAUGGAGGAAACUCUGAUGCAGCGAUGCCGCGUGAGGGAAGAAGGUUUUAGGAUUGUAAACCUCUGUCUUCAGGGACGAAAAAAGACGGUACCUGAGGAGGAAGCUCCGGCUAACUACGUGCCAGCAGCCGCGGUAAUACGUAGGGAGCGAGCGUUGUCCGGAAUUACUGGGUGUAAAGGGAGCGUAGGCGGGAUCGCAAGUCAGAUGUGAAAACUAUGGGCUUAACCCAUAAACUGCAUUUGAAACUGUGGUUCUUGAGUGAAGUAGAGGUAAGCGGAAUUCCUAGUGUAGCGGUGAAAUGCGUAGAUAUUAGGAGGAACAUCAGUGGCGAAGGCGGCUUACUGGGCUUUAACUGACGCUGAGGCUCGAAAGCGUGGGGAGCAAACAGGAUUAGAUACCCUGGUAGUCCACGCCGUAAACGAUGAUUACUAGGUGUGGGGGGACUGACCCCUUCCGUGCCGCAGCAAACGCAAUAAGUAAUCCACCUGGGGAGUACGACCGCAAGGUUGAAACUCAAAGGAAUUGACGGGGGCCCGCACAAGCAGUGGAGUAUGUGGAUUAAUUCGAAGCAACGCGAAGAACCUUACCAGGUCUUGACAUCGUAUGCAUAGCUCAGAGAUGAGUGAAAUCUCUUCGGAGACAUAUAGACAGGUGGUGCAUGGUUGUCGUCAGCUCGUGUCGUGAGAUGUUGGGUUAAGUCCCGCAACGAGCGCAACCCUUACUGUUAGUUGCUACGCAAGAGCACUCUAGCAGGACUGCCGUUGACAAAACGGAGGAAGGUGGGGAUGACGUCAAAUCAUCAUGCCCCUUAUGACCUGGGCCUCACACGUACUACAAUGGCUGUCAACAGAGGGAAGCAAAGCCGCGAGGUGGAGCGAACCCCUAAAAGCAGUCUUAGUUCGGAUUGUAGGCUGCAACCCGCCUACAUGAAGUCGGAAUUGCUAGUAAUCGCAGAUCAGCAUGCUGCGGUGAAUACGUUCCCGGGCCUUGUACACACCGCCCGUCACGCCAUGGGAGUCGGUAACACCCGAAGCCUGUAGUCUAACCGCAAGGAGGACGCAGUCGAAGGUGGGAUUGAUGACUGGGGUGAAGUCGUAACAAGGUA